This 1588-nucleotide long non-coding RNA is filed under the name Homo sapiens (human). RNAcentral's name for it is "HSALNT0394817". The record is from RNAcentral. Lineage: Eukaryota; Metazoa; Chordata; Mammalia; Primates; Hominidae.
CUUCAAAUGACCUUUUUAAAAGGCAGGAAAAACAAACAAACAAACCCCAACUGGACAAUAAGAGCACAGGUCAGUAAUCCUGGAGAGAGCCUGCUUCCCGCCCAGCUUCCUCCUGGGGAAGUGUCCAGGCUGCAGCACAGGGAGGAAGACCCAGGUGGAGGCUGUGGUCUCCGUGCAUUGAGGAGAUGGAGCUGGGGGCUGAAGGAGGACAAGGUGGCCAGAGUCCACAGUCAGUGCACUGGAGGAGGAUAGUGGUUCCCGGCAAAUGUGGAAAGUUUGGAGACUGUCUCCACUCCAAACUCAAAAGAAUCAAACUGUUUCCAAGCAACUGUGUCCCAGAAACUGUCCAAAAUGAAACAGAGAGGAAAAAAAAAAGACUGGGAAAAAAAAAAAAUAAGGCCAGGACCUUAGUGAGUGGUGGGAUAACUUCAAACAGCCUACUAUACUAUAGGGAGUUGGAGUCUUCGAAAGAAGAGACAGAUAACACUUUUGAGGAGUUGAUGGCUGAAAACAUUUCCAAUAUGAAGAAAAUUAUAAAACUACAGAUACUGCAAGCAAGACAAACAUGAAGAAGACUUAACUGAGACACAUCAAAAUCAAAUUGCUAGAAACCAGGAACAAAGGCGGGAGGUAGAGCAGGGGAAACCAGGACGUGCCCAACAGCAGGCUUCUCCCUGGAAACCUGGUAGGAGACAGUGGAGCAACGUCUUGAACGUACCAACGGAAAACAACUAGAAAACAACCUAGAUUUCUAAGCCAGUACAAACAGCUCUGAAAAGUUAAGGGGAAAUAAAGACAUUUCCAGAUGCACAAAUAAAAGCAUUUACCACCAGCAGGAUGGCACUAAAGAAAUGGAAAAGGAAAUCCUUGAGGCACAAGAAAAUGACACUAGAUGGAAAUCCGGAACUGUACAAAAGAAUGAAGCACAACGAUAAUGACAGCCAGGUGGUGGUCUGAAGGUGUGUUCACUUUGCAAGAAUUCAAAGGGUUGCAGUGCACUUUGCUGUACACAAAUGCUUCAGUGUAACCAUGACUCCAUACAGCUGGGGCUCCGGAAGCGUCUCCUGUAGAAGGCUGAUCAAUCUUGAAACAGCGGAUAUUACUAACAAGAGAAACAGGGAGGGAACAGGAAUCAUUAAAACCAAAUGUGUGCAAAUUGCUACCUUUAUCCAAGAAAUAAAAAAUACACCUGUUAAACACUCUGUACUUACCAUUUCUUACUGCGUUUAAUGUGUCUGAAAUACUUAUCAGCAACAAGAACCAGCUACUCGUUGUAAUGAAAACUGAGGGGCAUAUAUACAGAGCACGAAAAUUAGUUUUAAUGAGCAUCGUAAAGCAGCUAUUAGAGACUUUCACACAUUCCACUUUAGAUGACUGCUCUCUCCUGGGAAUGACAAGGACAGCUCUCAGCCUUGGCAUGAGAAAACAAAACUUAAGUAAUAGGAUGGGUGUAUUCUUACACCAUGAAUACUCAGAAAGAACAACAACAAAACACCUAAGCCACAAUUAUACUGCAUUUAGAUGAUGUGAGAGAAUUCUGCAAUAUUCAUCUCCAAAUCCAAUUUCUGUCCAUAUAACCCCUCCAAAU